Molecule: long non-coding RNA, 665 nt
Filed under: Oryctolagus cuniculus (rabbit)
Lineage: Eukaryota; Metazoa; Chordata; Mammalia; Lagomorpha; Leporidae
Description: lncRNA (ENSOCUG00000036908.1)
Source: RNAcentral
CAAGCGCCGUCGGGGAGGGGGCGGCCCGCCUAGGCCGAAAGGGAUGACGUGAUGCUCUUCAGGCCGCGCGGGCCGCAGCUUCCCUGGCUGUCGCCGCAGCGCAACUGUCCGCUGCCGGGUCCCCCGCAACCGCCACCUCCCGGACUGCGACUCCCUUGGGGAGGGCUGAGGAGGUGCAGGAAGAGUGGAUGGCUGCAAAGACCAGAGCCGCGCAGAUCCGAAGCCAGGAGCUUCUUCCGAGUCUCCCACGUGGGUGCAGGGGCCAAAGGACUUGGACCAUCUUCUACUGCGUUCCCAGGCCAUAGCAGAGAGCUGGAUCGCAAGUGGAGCAGCCAGGACUCAAACCGGCACCCAUAUGGGAUGCCAGCACUUCGGGCAGAGGCUUCACCCGCUACGCCAGUGUCAGCCCCUCAAGUCCAUUCUUGAGCAGCUUUUCCUGCAAAAAGAAGCUCUCUGCUAUGGCCUGGGAAAGCAGCAGAAGAUGGCCUAAGUCCUUGGACCCCUGUACCGACGUGGGAGACCCAGAAGAAGCUCCUGGCUUCAGAUUGGCCCACCUCCCGCUAUUGCAGCCAUCUGGGGAGUGAACCAGCGGAUGGAAGAAUUCUCUUUCUCUGUAACUCCGCCUUUCAAAUAAAUAAAUAAACAAACUUUUUUUUUUUAAAGGC